GGAUGAACGCUGGCGGCGUGCUUAACACAUUGCAAGUCGAACGAUGAAGCCCAGCUUGCUGGGUGGAUUAGUGGCGAACGGGUGAGUAACACGUGAGUAACCUGCCCCUGACUCUGGGAUAAGCCCGGGAAACUGGGUCUAAUACCGGAUAUGACUUUUGACCGCAUGGUUGAGGGUGGAAAGAUUUAUCGGUUGGGGAUGGACUCGCGGCCUAUCAGCUUGUUGGUGAGGUAAUGGCUCACCAAGGCGACGACGGGUAGCCGGCCUGAGAGGGUGACCGGCCACACUGGGACUGAGACACGGCCCAGACUCCUACGGGAGGCAGCAGUGGGGAAUAUUGCACAAUGGGCGCAAGCCUGAUGCAGCGACGCCGCGUGAGGGAUGACGGCCUUCGGGUUGUAAACCUCUUUCAGUAGGGAAGAAGCGAGAGUGACGGUACCUGCAGAAGAAGCGCCGGCUAACUACGUGCCAGCAGCCGCGGUAAUACGUAGGGCGCAAGCGUUAUCCGGAUUUAUUGGGCGUAAAGAGCUCGUAGGCGGUUUGUCGCGUCUAUCGUGAAAGUCCGAGGCUCAACCUCGGAGCUGCGGUGGGUACGGGCAGACUAGAGUGAUGUAGGGGAGACUGGAAUUCCUGGUGUAGCGGUGAAAUGCGCAGAUAUCAGGAGGAACACCGAUGGCGAAGGCAGGUCUCUGGGCAUUUACUGACGCUGAGGAGCGAAAGCAUGGGGAGCGAACAGGAUUAGAUACCCUGGUAGUCCAUGCCGUAAACGUUGGGCACUAGGUGUGGGGGACAUUCCACGUUUUCCGCGCCGUAGCUAACGCAUUAAGUGCCCCGCCUGGGGAGUACGGCCGCAAGGCUAAAACUCAAGGAAUUGACGGGGGCCCGCACAAGCGGCGGAGCAUGCGGAUUAUUUCGAUGCACGCGAAGAACCUUACCAAGGCUUGACAUGUUCCAGAUCGCCUCAGAGAUGGGGUUUCCCUUCGGGCUGG
RNAcentral lists this ribosomal RNA (989 nucleotides) under uncultured bacterium. RNAcentral's name for it is "bacterial SSU rRNA". It matches the Rfam family "Bacterial small subunit ribosomal RNA", at positions 27 to 1030 of the family's 1533-position model. The record is from RNAcentral.